This is a non-coding RNA of Nicotiana tabacum (common tobacco), 350 nucleotides long. The record is from RefSeq and is a predicted model, not a curated record. Lineage: Eukaryota; Viridiplantae; Streptophyta; Magnoliopsida; Solanales; Solanaceae.
AAUACCCUAAACAUGGCAUGCAGAUGGAUUGAAGAGGAUUUCUAUCCAUAGUUCAGGGGGCACGUCCAUUAAACGUGAUGAUCUGAUUCAUCGAAGAAGCCGUAUGGACUGCUCGAGGUGACUUGCUUGGUAUUUCGACAAGAGUACUAAACCGCAUGUGAUGUUGGUAACUAAAGCGCACGAACUGACAAAUUCCGAUGAGCCCCGCAUUGCUUCACGUGCGUAAGAAGUUAUUUGUUUUCUAUUGUACUUUUCUUUUAAAAACUCUUAGAGUCGCUCCGUUAUUCAUUUUUAUUAGUGUCAUGAGUAUUCUCAUAUCAUUAAAGACUUAUGACUAGUAUUAGAUGUUC